CCCUUAGACGUUCUGGGCCGCACGCGCGCUACACUGACGAAGGCAACGAGCUUUCCUUUACCGAAAGGUACGGGUAAUCUUUUGAAACUUCGUCGUGCUGGGGAUAGAUCCUUGCAAUUUUUGAUCUUAAACGAGGAAUGCCUAGUAAGCGCAAGUCAUCAACUUGCGUUGAUUACGUCCCUGCCCUUUGUACACACCGCUCGUCGCUACUACCGAUUGAAUGGUUUAGUGAGGCCUUCGGAUCCGCGACUCGUUUUGUGGAGAAGUUGGACAAACUCAGUCAUUUAGAGGAAGUAAAAGUCGUAACA
Molecule: ribosomal RNA, 308 nt
Filed under: uncultured eukaryote
Lineage: Eukaryota
Description: partial 18S ribosomal RNA
Rfam family: Eukaryotic small subunit ribosomal RNA
Source: RNAcentral